UUCGAAGCCUCUGGCUGUUUCUUCAAGCCAGAUUGCAUAACCAGCAGUGAUGGAUCUGCCUGCUUUCUGAAACUCAGGAGCUUUUCCCUCUAUUCUACAUUCAUCUGAGCCACCAGAUGACUACAUGGUGAAUCACAUGUAGUCUACAGAGAGUUGCGCAUCAGCCCUGGACUGUGCCCAUGGCAGAAGGAGAUGCAUUGAGAAGAUUUUGGUUGCAGGGCUUCCUGCAGAGCCCCAGCCAGGAAGUCCUCUGUUUACCAGAAAUGUUUGCUCAGGAGAGAUUACCAUCCAAGCUCCAGGGAAGCUUUUUCAAAUAACCUGGGAUAUUGUCUCCAGAUUGAACUUUUGGGGUGUUGCCCGUCACCAGGUUAUUGCUUCUAUUUAUACAUUUCAUUCUUCUGGCUCCUAGAUAAUAGACAAUAAAGUCUACUGUGCACUAUCUGCUGCCUACAGGUUUCCAUUUGCAGCAUUCUGCUUUUGUUCCUAAGUACCUGGUGUCAGCAUUUUGGCAUGUGUCCCUUUACGAGAGGUGGGCUGAUGGAGGGGAACCAAACCACUGCUUUUGCAGCUAUGGAUUUCUCACUUUGUAUGCCUUCCCUUCAUAUCAGCCUCAAAUUAUUUAUUCAGGCCUCUGCUGAGAUUCUCAAUGGCGGAUUUCUUUUUCCAGAAUGACUCCAGUGUUUUAUAUGAUAGCAAAACCCAACACACAGAGAAACUCUUUUGCUUUCUCACAUAGUGGAUAGUUUGACAGUUGAUAGUUUAUUUCAUUUUUGCUUAUAUAUGCCCACAGAGAGACAUUAACACAAUUGGAGAUCAGUGGAAGAGGGAGGGGAAUCCAUCCUUUUUAUUCCACAGCAUUUUAGGAUAAGUUUGGUUUCCUGGGGGAAAAAACCUUUACAAGUGCUCCACAUGCAUUGAGUCAAUGGGAAGGCAGGAAUGAGGAAAGAUCUGACUCCUCCAUUACAGACUGAAAUUCUCCCCACACAGAGGAAUUUCUGUCAGAGACAAAAGUAAAGAAUAUCUUUCUGAACAUCUGCUUAUUUUUAAUGUUGUUUAAGCUGUUAUUUGGACUAGUUUUAUUCCCUCCAGGGUCGGAAUUCUGCUCUAGCAUCAGCAAAAAAAAUAGAUUGUAAACGCCGUGUGAUGUGUGUUGGCUGGAAGAGCGUGGAUAUAGCAUGUUCCAGUGAGACACCAAACUUCAGAAAUUUUUGCCACUUCUAGGGAAUUUAAUGAGCUUGCGUUGUGAAACUGGCUGAACCACCGAUUGAUAGCCAAGCUCAGAUGAUGUGUAACGGGGAGGAUCAUGCUUUCAAUGUGUAAUUUCUCAUUACUCUU
This is a long non-coding RNA of Oxyura jamaicensis (ruddy duck), 1335 nucleotides long. RefSeq lists it as uncharacterized. The record is from RefSeq and is a predicted model, not a curated record. Lineage: Eukaryota; Metazoa; Chordata; Aves; Anseriformes; Anatidae. The transcript has 2 exons.